This is a non-coding RNA of Cladobotryum mycophilum, 109 nucleotides long. NCBI's taxonomy places the organism in Eukaryota, Fungi, Ascomycota, Sordariomycetes, Hypocreales, Hypocreaceae. The record is from the annotation of a GenBank genome assembly.
UGGACGAACGGGGAAUUGAACCCCGGACCUCUCCCAAGCUAUAUAUCUAACCAAGUGAACUUGGCUCAUAAGAUGCUAAGGGAAAAUCAUACCACUAGACCAUUCGCCC